GCCGAAGUGGCGGAAUUGGUAGACGCGUCGGUCUCAAAAACCGAUGGAUGCAAAUCCGUGCCGGUUCGAUUCCGGCCUUCGGUACCA
Molecule: transfer RNA, 87 nt
Filed under: Candidatus Marinamargulisbacteria bacterium SCGC AG-439-L15
Lineage: Bacteria; Bacillati; Candidatus Margulisiibacteriota; Candidatus Marinamargulisbacteria
Description: tRNA-Leu
Rfam family: tRNA
About the family: Transfer RNA (tRNA) molecules are approximately 80 nucleotides in length.
Source: RNAcentral